RNAcentral lists this ribosomal RNA (784 nucleotides) under Brachybacterium sp. DJHH8. Its description in RNAcentral is "bacterial SSU rRNA". It matches the Rfam family "Bacterial small subunit ribosomal RNA", at positions 414 to 1211 of the family's 1533-position model. The record is from RNAcentral. Lineage: Bacteria; Bacillati; Actinomycetota; Actinomycetes; Micrococcales; Dermabacteraceae.
GCCUUCGGGUUGUAAACCUCUUUCAGUAGGGAAGAAGCGAAAGUGACGGUACCUGCAGAAGAAGCGCCGGCUAACUACGUGCCAGCAGCCGCGGUAAUACGUAGGGCGCAAGCGUUGUCCGGAAUUAUUGGGCGUAAAGAGCUCGUAGGUGGCUUGUCGCGUCUGCCGUGAAAACCCGAGGCUCAACCUCGGGCGUGCGGUGGGUACGGGCAGGCUAGAGUGUGGUAGGGGAGACUGGAACUCCUGGUGUAGCGGUGAAAUGCGCAGAUAUCAGGAAGAACACCGAUGGCGAAGGCAGGUCUCUGGGCCAUUACUGACACUGAGGAGCGAAAGCAUGGGUAGCGAACAGGAUUAGAUACCCUGGUAGUCCAUGCCGUAAACGUUGGGCACUAGAUGUGGGGGACAUUCCACGUUUUCCGCGUCGUAGCUAACGCAUUAAGUGCCCCGCCUGGGGAGUACGGCCGCAAGGCUAAAACUCAAAGGAAUUGACGGGGGCCCGCACAAGCGGCGGAGCAUGCUGAUUAAUUCGAUGCAACGCGAAGAACCUUACCAAGGCUUGACAUGCACCGGGCGACUGCAGAGAUGUGGUUUUCUUCGGACUGGUGCACAGGUGGUGCAUGGUUGUCGUCAGCUCGUGUCGUGAGAUGUUGGGUUAAGUCCCGCAACGAGCGCAACCCUCGUUCUAUGUUGCCAGCACGUCAUGGUGGGGACUCAUAGGAGACUGCCGGGGUCAACUCGGAGGAAGGUGGGGACGACGUCAAAUCAUCAUGCCCCUUAUGUCUUG